UGGGGAGUGACGUCAAGUCCUCAUGGCCUUUAUGCCCAGGGCUACACACGUGCUACAAUGGGUGGUACAAAGAGAUGCAAUCUCGCAAGAGCAAGCAAACCUCAAAAAGCCAUCCUCAGUUCGGAUUGGAGUCUGCAACUCGACUCCAUGAAGUCGGAAUCGCUAGUAAUCGCGGAUCAGCACGCCGCGGUGAAUACGUUCUCGGGGUUU
RNAcentral lists this ribosomal RNA (210 nucleotides) under uncultured Gelria sp. Its description in RNAcentral is "partial 16S ribosomal RNA". It matches the Rfam family "Bacterial small subunit ribosomal RNA", at positions 1173 to 1382 of the family's 1533-position model. Lineage: Bacteria; Bacillati; Bacillota; Clostridia; Thermoanaerobacterales; Thermoanaerobacteraceae. The record is from RNAcentral.